Long non-coding RNA from Aethina tumida (small hive beetle), 591 nucleotides. RefSeq lists it as uncharacterized. The record is from RefSeq and is a predicted model, not a curated record. The transcript is spliced from 2 exons. Lineage: Eukaryota; Metazoa; Arthropoda; Insecta; Coleoptera; Nitidulidae.
AGUGAAUGAUACUUUCAUGAUCAUUGUAUCAAAUUAUAUCUUGUAUCAAUCUGAUAAGAUAUUGUUCAAUCUAUAUUAAUUUAAUUUCUAGUCUGAUUAGGUGUUUUAAUAUUGUGAGUAUAAAAAAUAUAUAUGAUUUCUUCAAUAAAUGCACCAAGUGCCCCACCUUUGGAAGAAUUUCCAAUUGGAGAUGACGAAUUAUAUGAAUGGGAGGAAAAUAAAAUCAGGGAAAUUGAUAUAGAAGACAAAAAAGAUAGAUAUUUUAAAAUUCCAAUUAUCGAUAAGUCUGGAAACGGAUUUUGGUAUGCACAUUUCAAGGGGCCAUAUGUCACUAGACAAAUCAAUAACUACACAAAUCAAGAUGCGGAAUAUAUUCAAGAAGGAAAAGCUGGUGAUCACCUUAUGUGCAACCUACAUUUAAGCCAAACAGGAUUUCUGGAAGAUCCAACAUUGGAAAUUAAAGAGGAGGAAUUUAAUAUGCUGUGGAAAAAUAGCCAACCAAGGAAGUGCAUGCCAUGGCCUAUUUGUUUGUUAUUAUUUAAUAGGUGUAAAAGAAACAACAAAUCCUAAAUAAAAUUUAUUUAAUAAAAC